Molecule: transfer RNA, 87 nt
Filed under: Burkholderiaceae bacterium
Lineage: Bacteria; Pseudomonadati; Pseudomonadota; Betaproteobacteria; Burkholderiales; Burkholderiaceae
Description: tRNA-Leu
Rfam family: tRNA
About the family: Transfer RNA (tRNA) molecules are approximately 80 nucleotides in length. Their secondary structure includes four short double-helical elements and three loops (D, anti-codon, and T loops).
Source: RNAcentral
GCCUGAGUGGUGAAAUCGGUAGACACAAGGGAUUUAAAAUCCCUCGACGUUCGCGUCGUGCCGGCUCGAUUCCGGCCCCAGGCACCA